AUUGAACGCUGGCGGCAUGCUUUACACAUGCAAGUCGAACGGUAACAGGCCUUCGGGUGCUGACGAGUGGCGAACGGGUGAGUAAUGCAUCGGAACGUGCCCAGAGGUGGGGGAUAACGCAGCGAAAGCUGUGCUAAUACCGCAUGUGAUCUGAGGAUGAAAGCGGGGGACCAGGCAGCAAUGUUUGGUCUCGCGCCUUUGGAGCGGCCGAUGUCAGAUUAGGUAGUUGGUGGGGUAAAGGCCUACCAAGCCGACGAUCUGUAGCUGGUCUGAGAGGACGGCCAGCCACACUGGGACUGAGACACGGCCCAGACUCCUACGGGAGGCAGCAGUGGGGAAUUUUGGACAAUGGGCGCAAGCCUGAUCCAGCAAUGCCGCGUGCGGGAAGAAGGCCUUCGGGUUGUAAACCGCUUUUGUACGGAACGAAAAGGCUCUGGCUAAUACCUGGGGCUGAUGACGGUACCGUAAGAAUAAGCACCGGCUAACUACGUG
Molecule: ribosomal RNA, 492 nt
Filed under: uncultured bacterium
Lineage: Bacteria
Description: partial 16S ribosomal RNA
Rfam family: Bacterial small subunit ribosomal RNA
Source: RNAcentral